ACGAGAGAGUGCUCAAACCACACGGCGUCGUUCUCCUCCACCGGCGGUCAGAUUGGUCUACUCCAACAUCACGAAGUCGCUCUCCACCCCAUCGGCUCGACUUAGCAAACAUCAAAGGUGACGGCGCCUGGCGGAGGCAGAGGCAAAGGCGAGGUCACGGGUUCGACGAUGCGUGGGUCUUCUUCUCCUCAGCACACGACGGAGGCGAGAUCUGGCUACACUUUCCUAAUUGCAAAUGCUGCAAGGGUGAGAGCCUUCUUUGGAUGCCCAGUUGAUGAACGCAAGGACUUUCUGCUGCAGAUGAUGUAUAGUCCUCAGGACUGUUGAGGUACUUUGUAAAAUUGCAGAUAAGUGAGUCUAGGCUUCAAAAGUGAUGUUAAUUUAACAUACCAUAGUUGCAGCAAGAAUAAAAAAUAAUAAUAAUUCAGUGUAACAAACAUUUAUAGUUUUUUCAGAUGACUGUGUUCGGUUGUUUUGAUUAUCAAGUUAAUAGAUAGAAUCAUUUUCUA
Molecule: long non-coding RNA, 509 nt
Organism: Humulus lupulus (European hop)
Lineage: Eukaryota; Viridiplantae; Streptophyta; Magnoliopsida; Rosales; Cannabaceae
Exons: 3
Source: RefSeq, a predicted model, not a curated record